GGAUGCAAUCGUCUGAUAAUAAACUCUGCUAAAAUGGAAGUCAUCGACACAAUGAAGAAUUGAGGACAAUCUGCGGGAGCGGCGGCAGCUGUUUUUGGUGACUGCUAUUUUUUGGCUUGUGAUUUUCCUCUCACUAAUUUUGAACACUGUAAUAGGGAAGGGAACAAGGUUGCUCAUGAACUGGCUAGGUUAGCGAGAGUUUCCACAACAAAUGAGUGGUUUGAAAAGCCUAUGGGUGAUAUUGUAACUUUUCUUAUAGACGAUGUAACUGUUAUUUCAAAUGAAUAA
Molecule: ribosomal RNA, 288 nt
Filed under: Triticum aestivum (bread wheat)
Lineage: Eukaryota; Viridiplantae; Streptophyta; Magnoliopsida; Poales; Poaceae
Description: partial small subunit ribosomal RNA
Source: RNAcentral